ACUGUCAGCUCAAGCCGAUGGAAGUUUGAGGCAAUAACAGGUCUGUGAUGCCCUUAGAUGUCCUGGGCUGCACGCGCGCUACACUGACAGAGCCAACGAGUUCAUUCCUUAAUCGAAAGAUUUGGGUAAUCUUGUUAAACUCUGUCGUGCUGGGGAUAGGGCAUUGCAAUUAUUGCGCCUUCAACGAGGAAUGCCUAGUAAGCGCAUGUCAUCAGCAUGCGUUGAUUACGUCCCUGCCCUUUGUA
RNAcentral lists this ribosomal RNA (245 nucleotides) under uncultured fungus. RNAcentral's name for it is "partial 18S ribosomal RNA". It matches the Rfam family "Eukaryotic small subunit ribosomal RNA", at positions 1419 to 1664 of the family's 1831-position model. The record is from RNAcentral. Lineage: Eukaryota; Fungi.